RNAcentral lists this ribosomal RNA (497 nucleotides) under uncultured bacterium. RNAcentral's name for it is "partial 16S ribosomal RNA". It matches the Rfam family "Bacterial small subunit ribosomal RNA", at positions 28 to 507 of the family's 1533-position model. The record is from RNAcentral.
GAUGAGCGCUGGCGGCGUGCCUAAUACAUGCAAGUCGAGCGAACGGACGAGAAGCUUGCUUUUCUGAUGUUAGCGGCGGACGGGUGGGUAACACGUGGAUAACCUACCUAUAAGACUGGGAUAACUUCGGGAAACCGGAGCUAAUACCGGAUAAUAUUUUGAACCGCAUGGUUCAUAAGUGAAAGACGGUCUUGCUGUCACUUAUAGAUGGAUCCGCGCUGCAUUAGCUAGUUGGUAAGGUAACGGCUUACCAAGGCAACGAUGCAUAGCCGACCUGAGAGGGUGAUCGGCCAAACUGGAACUGAGACACGGUCCAGACUCCUACGGGAGGCAGCAGUAGGGAAUCUUCCGCAAUGGGCGAAAGCCUGACGGAGCAACGCCGCGUGAGUGAUGAAGGUCUUCGGAUCGUAAAACUCUGUUAUUAGGGAAGAACAUAUGUGUAAGUAACAGUGCACAUCUUGACGGUACCUAAUCAGAAAGCCACGGCUAACUACGUG